CCCGGGUCUUGUACACACCGCCCGUCACACCAUGGAGCGGGUUUCACCAGAAGUAGCUAGCCUAACCGCAAGGGGGCGGUUACCACGGUGAGAUUCGUGACUGGGGUG
This 108-nucleotide ribosomal RNA is filed under the name uncultured bacterium. RNAcentral's name for it is "partial 16S ribosomal RNA". It matches the Rfam family "Bacterial small subunit ribosomal RNA", at positions 1373 to 1482 of the family's 1533-position model. The record is from RNAcentral.